This 440-nucleotide ribosomal RNA is filed under the name uncultured bacterium. RNAcentral's name for it is "partial 16S ribosomal RNA". It matches the Rfam family "Bacterial small subunit ribosomal RNA", at positions 338 to 795 of the family's 1533-position model. The record is from RNAcentral.
CCUACGGGUGGCAGCAGUGGGGAAUAUUGCACAAUGGGGGAAACCCUGAUGCAGCGACGCCGCGUGAGUGAAGAAGUAUUUCGGUAUGUAAAGCUCUAUCAGCAGGGAAGAGAAUGACGGUACCUGACGAAGAAGCCCCGGCUAACGACGUGCCAGCAGCCGCGGUAAUACGUAGGGGGCAAGCGUUAUCCGGAUUUACUGGGUGUACAGGGUGCGUAGGUGGCAGGGCAAGUCAGAUGUGAAAGCCCGGGGCUCAACCCCGGUACUGCAUGUGAAACUGUCCAGCUGGAGUGCAGGAGAGGUAAGCGUCAUUCCUCGUGUCGCGGUGAAAUGCGUAGAUAUUAGGAGGCACCCCAGUGGCGAUGGCGGCUUACUGGACUGUAACUGACACUGAGGCACGACAGCGUGUGGAGCAAACAGGAUUAGAUACCCGUGUCGUC